This 254-nucleotide ribosomal RNA is filed under the name uncultured bacterium. RNAcentral describes it as "partial 16S ribosomal RNA". It matches the Rfam family "Bacterial small subunit ribosomal RNA", at positions 524 to 776 of the family's 1533-position model. The record is from RNAcentral.
UACAGAGGUGCCAAGCGUUAGGCGGAAUCACUGGGCUUAAAGCGCGCGUAGGCGGAUGUUUAAGUGUCUUGUGAAAUCCCACGGCUCAACCGUGGAACUGCUGGGCAUACUGGACAUCUUGAGGCACUCAGGGGCGAGCGGAACAAGUGGUGGAGCGGUGAAAUGCGUAGAUAUAGAGAAGAACACCAAAAGGCGAAGGCAGUUAACUACUCUGUCUCUGACGUUGAGGCACGAAAGCGUGGGGAGCAAAACGG